Molecule: unclassified non-coding RNA, 660 nt
Filed under: Hevea brasiliensis (rubber tree)
Lineage: Eukaryota; Viridiplantae; Streptophyta; Magnoliopsida; Malpighiales; Euphorbiaceae
Source: RNAcentral
AUGAAAACUGAAAUGGCAAACUGGUCAAACACUAGUUCACAUUCACCUGGAGAUAUCAUUAAUCAUUCCACACGGGAACAACUAGAUUUUCCGACAGGCAGCAGCACAUCAGAAACGAUUCAUUCAACAUUUCCUUUCAGCUAAGUUUAAGUAUACUAUAAAGAUAAUAAAACAGUAAUAUUAGUCUUCAACUGGUCUCAAACCCUAUAAAGGGGGUCCGGAACAGGAAUUGAAUAUACCUUGGAAAACUUCAAAGUUAUUGUUCUUUUUUUUUAUAAAAACUAUCACUUACUCAACCCACUGUACAUCACUUCAGGUCUCGAGAGAUCUCCAUUUGAUACAAUUGAAGCAAACACUGAGCACUUCUCGUAAUUGGUCAAAGCCUCCUAUAAGACUAACUACUUUGGAUGCAUUCUACUUGCAUCGUCAAAUCCUUAACCCCAGCAUGACGAAAUAUUUCAGAUACUUGCGUCUUUGCAGAUGACUUGUCAGUCUCGCUUGAGACAAGAAGAUGGAGAGUUCCAAUAACAUCUGUGUUUGUAAAGCUCCAAACAUGCAGCUUUUGAAUCCCAGAUAAACCUUUUAUCUUCAUAACAUCGUUAACUGCUUCUUUUACAUCAUGUUCAUGAGCCCUUGGAACUCUUUGCAGUAAAAUUUCUG